Molecule: ribosomal RNA, 476 nt
Filed under: uncultured Glomus
Lineage: Eukaryota; Fungi; Glomeromycota; Glomeromycetes; Glomerales; Glomeraceae
Description: SSU rRNA
Rfam family: Eukaryotic small subunit ribosomal RNA
Source: RNAcentral
AGCAGCCGCGGUAAUUCCAGCUCCAAUAGCGUAUAUUAAAGUUGUUGCAGUUAAAAAGCUCGUAGUUGAAUUUCGGGAUCAAUUAAUCGGUCGUGCCUCUGGUACGCACUGGUUUUAUUGGUUUCUCCCUUCUGACGAACCAGGAUGUCAUUAAUUUGGUGUCUUGGAGAAUCAGGACUGUUACUUUGAAAAAUUAGAGUGUUUAAAGCAGGCUAACGCUUGAAUACAUUAGCAUGGAAUAAUGAAAUAGGACGUUUGAUCCUAUUUUGUUGGUUUCUAGGAUCGACGUAAUGAUUAAUAGGGAUAGUUGGGGGCAUUAGUAUUCAAUUGUCAGAGGUGAAAUUCUUGGAUUUAUUGAAGACUAACUACUGCGAAAGCAUUUGCCAAGGAUGUUUUCAUUAAUCAAGAACGAAAGUUAGGGGAUCGAAGACGAUCAGAUACCGUCGUAGUCUUAACCAUAAACUAUGCCGACUAGG